UAUGACAAACGUCUAAUAACAUAACCUAAAAAAAUAAAUUUAUAACAAAUUUUAGUAAAAUUAAUUAAUCUAUCAAAUUGAGGAAAAUCACUUGUUUAAAUAGUAACAACAUAACCACAAAAAAAAAUAAAUUAAUAAUGAGUUAUGAGAUAAAGAAGUCCACGGUACGGGAUUCAAGGAUUAUCAGGAACGGGAACCACAAUGAUGUUUCUUCACCAGGGUUGUAGGAUAAUGAAGUCCAUGAUAUCUGAUCAUUUUCUUCUACAUUUAAGGGCAAAAUUCCAAAAAUCUGGAGGUUAUGAAUUUUCGUCUAAAAUUUCAUUAAUUCACACAAAGGAUGGCUGUUUUUUAUUCUUACUAUGUUUAGAUCAUCAUUUUUAAUAGCUUUAACUGGAUGAAUAAGGAUUUGAAUAAGAAAUUGAGAAAAAAAUCAAAUUGAGGUUAUGUAUCUGUCAAGGGGGCUUUUAAAAUACUUCGUAUGGACUUUACAUGGGUUAUAUACAAUAAAAAACACCAACGGCCAAUAAUACAUAACUGAAUUCGUCAGUAAAUAAUGUUUUAUAUUAUAAAAUGAAAUUACAAGUGAAAUUUAGCUCUCGGAAGUUCCAAGAGGUCUCUCGGAAGACUAUUUCUACUUUUGUUAUUGUAAAUCCAUCUCAAUUUAAUGCAAAACGAUAUCGAGGUGCUAAUUAAACCUCAAAAUUGAAAUGUCAAAGUUGA
This 720-nucleotide long non-coding RNA is filed under the name Onthophagus taurus. Its description in RNAcentral is "uncharacterized LOC111418699, transcript variant X1". The record is from RNAcentral. Lineage: Eukaryota; Metazoa; Arthropoda; Insecta; Coleoptera; Scarabaeidae.